Long non-coding RNA from Artibeus jamaicensis (Jamaican fruit-eating bat), 3485 nucleotides. RefSeq lists it as uncharacterized. The transcript is spliced from 3 exons. Lineage: Eukaryota; Metazoa; Chordata; Mammalia; Chiroptera; Phyllostomidae. The record is from RefSeq and is a predicted model, not a curated record.
UUCCACAGGCUCUCGGGGGCACUGGCACCAUGGAGAUGAGGUUUGGAACCACCUGGGUGCCACUACUUUUAGGGCAGAAACAUAUGCAAACAGCAUGCUGCCCGGACUGACUGUCCUCGGAGGCUGGGUUGCCUUCCCGCUCUGAAUUUCUUUCAUCCUGGUUGCCUCCGCUGUCCUGUAAGAACUGUGCCUUUCAGCCACGUGUGAGGAGGCCUCACCACUGGUGGACACUAGCAUUUGACUUUCCCCGUGAUACGCUACAGCGUAUUUGCCUCUCGGGCCCGCGGUGGGUCCUGUUUAAAGCAAUCCUAAAGAAACGUACUCCAGAGAAGGUUCGUAUUAGAAUCACAGCAUCACUUAAGCAAACCCAGUGAAGACAAUACCAGCGGUGGCUCACAUCAGCCCCUGAGGUGGAGUUCACUGUACCGGUCAGUGGCUGACCUUGGAAAGGGUCAAAGGCCAUGAAAUCAGCAUCUCCGAGGUAAAGUCAGGACAGCAUUACUUUGAGUUAAGUCAUUCACUUGAGGACUCGGUUACUGAACUGAAGGCAAGAGCAGGUAUCUGCAGGCAGAAGGAGAUUCCAAGACCAUCUGCCCUGGCUGAGUCAUGCAGUGAGAGGUUUCACCCCUGCGCUGAACACCUGGACAGGCAGACUUUCCGCUUUGUGCCCCCAAAACUCUCGCUAACUCCAUUCCCCUAGAAAUAGUGAGCACAGCACCACAUUAAAUUCCUCGGUCAGCCGAACGGUCUGACAUGAAAUUUGGGGGUUGAAUUAUUUUGUCUCCAAGGGAAAAAAAUAGGUCAUUUGCUCUUCCUCUCCAUGACACUCUUGUUCCUUCACUGGGUACUUCGGCCAAGUCCGACGGAAGGAGUUCAGUGUAGCUUGUGCUGUAGGCGGAGGAGAUGUGAGGUCCGGGGUCUCCACGAGGGCUCUCAGAAUAGCUUUUCCCUCAAACAGUUAAAAACACAAAUCCCACCACUUUAAUGCAACUAUUCUACCUGUGUUCUCUCCUCUAACCUUUGGUAUGUAUCUAUGUUAAUGAAAGUUAAAGCGUGGUUUUUCCUUUUGUUCUGUUUGUCCACUGGUUGCAUAGGCUGCCUCUUCAAUGACUGGAUAAUAGUCGGAAACAGGAACAGCCCACCGUGGUCGGCCGCAAGAGGGCCCAAGUUCUUCGCCUCCCCCAGUCUCCGGGUCCUUUGCAGUGCCAGGCUGUGGCUCCUCCCAUCAGGGGGUGAAGUUUCAUUUCUCACUCUCAGAGUCCGGGCUGAUCUUGUAACCGGCUUUGGACGAGAGAAUGUAGCAGAGGGGAUCACGUGCAGCUUCUAAGCUGUUGCCUCAAGACGACUUGCGUGCUUCUGCCUGUCUUCUUGGAACUCUGCGGUAGACCUCCAUCAUGAGAAAAAUCCUAAACUAGCCUGUUAGAGACCGAGAAAGCAUGUGCAGGGGGGAGGAGGGGGUGCGGACCAGUCAACCCAACCAUCACAGCUAACCUUUCACGGACCAAUCCACUCCGGGUUGACCAGUCAGCUGAGCGCAGUUGCAAGGAGGAGUCCGGCUGAGACCAGCACUUGUUGUUUUAAGGUCAAUUAAAUGCUUGUUUUAAGUCAGAGAGUUUGGGGUGUGUCUAUUAUGCAGCAAUAGCUGACUGACAUAGCUGUAAUUCUCUUAAUUGUCUCCCCUUCAUUAUUUAUGUGGCUGUUUCCAAAUUUUCUUUAUUAUAAAAUAAUGCUGUGAUGAAGUUUUUGGUGUAAGUCUUUAUGUGAUUAGCAGGAAGCUCAAUUAGAGUUACCUAGAUUUUCCUCUAACUCUACUCCUCCUGCCUCUGUCUUUCCUUCCACAGCUUACUUACUAUUUUAUCUUUAUUCUAAUGGUUCUAUUAUAUUUAUGGACUUUUGCAAGUUCCUUUGAAUACUCCUGCCCUAUCUAGACUACUUAGGCCUCUGGGACAAUCUUACUAGUUCUGACCAUCGGCCUUAGUGAGAAAACCAGAACUAUGACCACAACGUGUUAGACUGGGCCAGCGUGGCUGGCCCUUCACUCAUUUUGCAUUUUUUAUUGUUGUUCAAUUACAGUUGUCCCCACGUUCUUCUAUUACUCACCCUGCCCUGCCCACCCCACCUUCCACAUUCAACGCACACCCCACCCCCUUGUUUCUGUCCGUGGGUCCUUUAUCCGUGUUCCUUCGUUCACCCCUCCCCCCUCCCUUCUGGUCACCGUCAGUUUGUUGUUUAUUUCCCUGUCUCUGCUUCUGUUUGGCUUUCUUGUUUGUCUUGUUGACUAGUUUCACUUAUUUAAUGAUCACUGUUUUGUCUUUAUUAAAUAUAGGAACCUAGCUGAAUCAAGGAACUCUGUAAGGUAUCAAUACUAAGCUGAACACCAAAAAGCUUUCAAAUGUUUUUGAAACCUGCCUUUUUUUUCUUUAAAGGAGUGCCUAGUGAACCAUCUCAAAUCAGAACAAGUUCAGUUCGUCUCAACCCCACUGGGGCAGCAGCCCUGACAUUCGGACCCACCUUGCUGGAAGCCCCCUCACCGAGCGUGCGCACACCGUGGGAGGCGGUGCCUGGGAAAGGAAGCUGUCUGAAGAAGUAGCAGCCUGUGGCCGUGGAGGUCACCUUGUCCUUAACUCCACACAGGAGGCGCUCUGGAGCUGACGUGCCCUGUCUGGUUUGGGGAGCCUUCUUGCAACUCCGUUCAUCAGAAGAGUCUUUGUCCUCAAACACAGAAAGAGGUAAAUCGCACCACCGUGGACAGCAUGUUUCUGACCAGGCUCCAGAUGAAACCUCAGACCAGACUGGAGUCUUUCAAAGCCAGGCCAAGCCUAGGCUCGGCUCUGCUUGCAGAAGCGCCUAAUGACUUGCUGGUCAUCACCCAAGAAAGAGAAGCCUGCAGACACUUGAAACGGGACUUUGGAAAUCAAAAGGAAGUUUCUUCCCUCAGUUCGUUCCUUCACCAUCUGGCUAGCUUUUAUAAUCCUCAUUGCACUCUGAUGAAUUUUUUCAUGCCACAGCUUUCUGCUCAUUAACUGUAAUUACCAAGAACAGGAAAUUUCAGCAUGAUCAGAUCAUGUUUACCCAGAAUGCCAAAGCCGGAGAACUGUUCUUUAAGAGACAUUCUUGGGAUCGUCAACGUUUAGAAGCUGGGUGGAACCUCUGAAAUCAUUGGCUCAAAUCGUUCACUAGUAGAUGAAGAAAUCUGUAUGAACGAGCCCAGGUCUGGCAGCUAGUUAGUAACAGAGAAAGGGCAAAAACACCAGCUUCCACAUUCUCAGGACUGUGGUGUGUGCAACACACUCGGUUGUCUCUAGAACUGGUUCAAACCAGAAGCAGCCACUCCUCUCGGUUUGGGUGGUUCCAUCAACUCCAGGAUGGAAUCGGGUCAAAACGUCUCAUUGCAUCAUCACCUUGCUUUGAAACUCUGAGUUCUUUGGACAUAGAGUUCUUGUCUAUGUGCUGUGAACCAAUAAAUUCUCUGGAAAAAAAAAUCA